This 446-nucleotide ribosomal RNA is filed under the name uncultured bacterium. Its description in RNAcentral is "partial 16S ribosomal RNA". It matches the Rfam family "Bacterial small subunit ribosomal RNA", at positions 338 to 795 of the family's 1533-position model. The record is from RNAcentral.
CCUACGGGAGGCAGCAGUCGAGAAUCAUUCACAAUGGGGGAGACCCUGAUGGUGCGACGCCGCGUGAGGGAAUAAAGUUCUUCGUAUUGUAAACCCCUGUCAUGUGGGAACAAAGUAAAAGAAUAGUACCACGAUAGGGAUAGACGGCUAACUAGGUUCGAGCAACUGCGGUAAUACAGAGGUCUCAAGCGUUGUGCGGAAUCAAUGGGCGUAAAGCGUGCGUAGGCUGUGUUGUAAGUCGUGUGUGAAAGGCGCGGGCUCAAACCGCGGAAGACAAAUGAUACUGGGAGACUAGAGUAAUGGAGGGGGAACCGGAAUUCGCGGUGUAGCAGUGAAAUGCGUAGAUAUCGCGAGGAACCCUCGUGGCGAAGGCAGGUUCCUGGACAUUAACUGACGCUGAGGCACGAAGGCCAGGGGAGCGAAAGGGAUUAGAUACCCUUGUAGUC